UAUAAAAUUGCAAUUUUUCAUGAAAAUUUCAUAUUAAGUUCUGUAAUGGUUUAAAUGUGAUCAAUCUUGUUUAAUUCACCAUUUAAUCAUGGAAUUUCUAAAAGUCUGUGAAUCCAUUUCUAAUUAUAUGUAUAAAUAGGGUACUUUAUAAGAAAAAUGUUGUCCAGCAUGUUAGAUGAGUUUGUCCAUUAUUUUAGCACAUGUUUUGAUCUCACAUUGUUAACUUCUAAAAAUCUUUGUUAGUGUAACUUUACACAAGAAAAAUAAAUUUCACUCAUACUCCGAUUAACACGAUUCUUAUUGCAAAAUUCAUCUAAAAUCAUGUUCUUUAUUUUCAUGCAGAAAUACUUUGUGUUCAUUGCUGUGGAUUUUCUUGGAUGGAUUUAUUUGCAUCUUUCAGUGUUUAUCGAUCGAGUAUUUGGCGUGUACGUAAGUGCGAUCAAUGAUGAAUGAUAGAGAUUAGAAAUAUCACAAAGAAAUAAUGCCAGGAAAUCAUGGAAGCGAUGAUAUCAGGGCUUUCUAGGAUUCAACUCCCAGUCGAUUGCCUGUAGGCAGGUUUGAGGCACACCCUUUGGAUAUUUGAAUCUAUUUCAUUGUAUUUUCCGCUGCAUGUUCUUUUAUAUUGUAGAUCGGUUGGUCAUAAUGUCGUAAAUUUAAUCCAAUUAAACAUAUUCUCCUUGUAAAAUGUAUGAAUGUGAUAUCACUGUUGUAACCGUGUGUACUUGCUACUGAUCAUGGGACAAGUACAGUGGAAACACAGAGUUUCGGGUAAUCUAAUUACCCGGAGAGUUACAACUACAAAAACUCAGAUAGUUGAGGACUUUGGGAUAUCAAAUUCAGCAAUCAAACAUGACAAUAUCUACUGUUUAGCUUGUUAUUUACUGAUUUUGUCUUGUUAGAUGGCAAAAGCUUCAAAGAUGAUUGCCAAGUGGGACACAUUUGCGAGCAAGGUGUGGGUAGAUAUAUGUGUGGAAGAAGUUAUAGCUCAUAAUAGGCCACAACAACAUUUGAAUGCUUUAGGUUAUGAAAAUCUUAUAAAGAAGUUCCACAAACGCACCAAGAGACCAUACACCCAUGAGCAACAUAAGAAUAGAUGGGAUGCUUUGAAGAGAAUGUAUACAUAGUGGAAGGCAUUGAACAUAAGAGCAUCCAGUUUGGGAAGAGAUCCUGUGACUGGAUGCAUUUCUCCUAGUGACGAUUGGUGGGAAGAGUAAAAUCUGGCUAUGCCAGGCGUAUCAUUUUUAAAACUGUACCACUUGAACACGAGGAUGAGUUGCGGAUCAUCUCUGAGACUAUCAGUUGUACCAAUGAGAGCUCAUUUGUUCCAGGAGUUGGAGCAGCCCCUGCAGGAAAUGGAGAUGAUGAUGUUGUAGAGAAGGAGGGCGAGGAUGCCCCUGUAGGAAGACGUGGCAAAGAGAAAAGACCUAUUGCUGAAGGUUCUCCGAAGGGAAAGAAGCCAAAGAAGACGUACAGAUAUGGUCUUAUGAAGCGGCUGGUGGAUGCAUACAAGAAGAAAUCUGAAAGCAGUAAAAAUUCUGCAACUUCUACAAUGGUUGAUCAUGUUAGAGAGGAGAUAGCUCAUCUGCUAGAAUCAAGGGCGGUCAUUCCAAAAUUCAUUAGCGAUGAUGAUGAUGACUUCAUGGUUGCAUAUGCUGCUUUGGAAUUCAUGAACAACUAUGGUGGCUCAAGUAAGAAGAAGGCUAGGACAAUACCUAUCAUGACUGGAAUUCAGUGGGUUGAAAUCCAACUCGGAGAUAGUGACAAAUGUUACGAUAUGUUUAGAAUGAGAAGGUCAGUUUUUCAUCGUCUCCAUGACACAUUGGUAAAUCAUUAUGGUUUGCAAUCAACAAGAGAACUUUGCAUAAAGAAGCAUUGGCAAUUUUUCUGUGGACUUGUGGUGCACCUCAAUCUAUUCGCCAAGUCAAGAAUUGGUUUGGCCAUUUGACAAAAAUUGUUAGUAGGAAGUUUAAUGAGGUACUAGAGAGUAUAACACUCUUGGUUGUUGACAUCAUAAGAUCCAAAGAUCCUCAGUUUAGGACAGUGCAUUAUAGGUUUCAAGAAGCUAGGUUUUGGCCUCAUUUCAAGGAUUGCAUUGGUGCAAUUGAUGGGUUACACAUACUUGUAUCCGUGCCAUUAAGUGAACAACCUAAAUACAUUGGACGACAUGGAUAUUCUUCACAAAACAUCAUGACGGUUUGUGAUUUUGAUAUGAGGUUCACUUUUGUUGUCACUGGUUGGCCUGGAUCUGUUCAUGACACUCGCGUAUUGAAUGAUACUUUGAUAACCUACAAAGAUCAGUUUCCACAUCCCCCAGAAGGGAAGUUUUAUCUUGUUGAUUCAGGAUAUCCUAAUAAAAAAGGUUUUCUAGCAUCAUACAAGGGUCGAAGAUACCAUGCGCCUAAAUUCCAACAUGGUCAUCAUCCAGUGGGAUCGAAGGAGGUGUUCAACUAUGCACAUUCAUCCCUUCUAAAUGUGAUUGAGCGUUGCUUUGGAGUUCUAAAGAUGAAGUGGUGUAUUUUAUUAAACAUGCCUACCUAUACAAUAGAGAAGCAAUCACAAAUCAUAGUUGCUGCAAUGGCUCUUCUUAAUUUUAUUAGGGAUAGUGCCAUAGAUGAUGCUGAUUUUGAAAACUAUGAUGAUGACAAUACA
Molecule: long non-coding RNA, 2649 nt
Organism: Phragmites australis (common reed)
Lineage: Eukaryota; Viridiplantae; Streptophyta; Magnoliopsida; Poales; Poaceae
Exons: 4
Source: RefSeq, a predicted model, not a curated record